UCGAAAUUGCCUCGUUGCUUACAAUGCGAGUCGAACGGUGAAGCCCUUCGGGGUGGAUCAGUGGCUAACGGGUGAGUAACACGUGGGCAAUCUGCCCUGCACUCUGGGACAAGCCCUGGAAACGGGGUCUAAUACCGGAUACGACCCGCCCCUGCAUGGGGGUGGGUGGAAAGCUCCGGCGGUGCAGGAUGAGCCCGCGGCCUAUCAGCUUGUUGGUGGGGUAAUGGCCUACCAAGGCGACGACGGGUAGCCGGCCUGAGAGGGCGACCGGCCACACUGGGACUGAGACACGGCCCAGACUCCUACGGGAGGCAGCAGUGGGGAAUAUUGCACAAUGGGCGAAAGCCUGAUGCAGCGACGCCGCGUGAGGGAUGACGGCCUUCGGGUUGUAAACCUCUUUCAGCAGGGAAGAAGCGCAAGUGACGGUACCUGCAGAAGAAGCACCGGCUAACUACGUGCCAGCAGCCGCGGUAAUACGUAGGGUGCGAGCGUUGUCCGGAAUUAUUGGGCGUAAAGAGCUCGUAGGCGGCCUGUCGCGUCGGAUGUGAAAGCCCGGGGCUUAACCCCGGGUCUGCAUUCGAUACGGGCAGGCUAGAGUGUGGUAGGGGAGAUCGGAAUUCCUGGUGUAGCGGUGAAAUGCGCAGAUAUCAGGAGGAACACCGGUGGCGAAGGCGGAUCUCUGGGCCAUUACUGACGCUGAGGAGCGAAAGCGUGGGGAGCGAACAGGAUUAGAUACCCUGGUAGUCCACGCCGUAAACGUUGGGAACUAGUGUUGGCGACAUUCCACGUCGUCGGUGCCGCAGCUAACGCAUUAAGUUCCCCGCCUGGGGAGUACGGCCGCAAGGCUAAAACUCAAGGAAUUGACGGGGGCCCGCACAAGCAGCGGAGCAUGUGGCUUAAUUCGACGCAACGCGAAGAACCUUACCAAGGCUUGACAUACGCCGGAAAC
Molecule: ribosomal RNA, 949 nt
Filed under: Kitasatospora sp. ADW
Lineage: Bacteria; Bacillati; Actinomycetota; Actinomycetes; Kitasatosporales; Streptomycetaceae
Description: bacterial SSU rRNA
Rfam family: Bacterial small subunit ribosomal RNA
Source: RNAcentral